GGUCCUGAAAGAUGGCCGCGGGGAGUCUUCUUAAAAUUCACAUACGGAGACCAACUUGGACCAAUCACAUUCCUGUUGGUUAAUGCAGUUGAACCAAUGGAAUGUAGUGAUGUGAGUGUUGAAAUGAUCUCACCUGCAAGUGACGGCAUAUAUCAAGCACAGUGGAGAAUGUGCACACCCAUGGGGCAAUAUUUUGGUGGUAAGUUUUAUAAAUUACUGGGAAAAUAACUUACAGUAUAAGACAUCUGCGUGAAGGACUUUGGUCAAACUGAAUUAUUU
Non-coding RNA from Paramuricea clavata, 279 nucleotides. Lineage: Eukaryota; Metazoa; Cnidaria; Anthozoa; Malacalcyonacea; Plexauridae. The record is from the annotation of a GenBank genome assembly.